Molecule: ribosomal RNA, 430 nt
Filed under: Vibrio alginolyticus
Lineage: Bacteria; Pseudomonadati; Pseudomonadota; Gammaproteobacteria; Vibrionales; Vibrionaceae
Description: bacterial SSU rRNA
Rfam family: Bacterial small subunit ribosomal RNA
Source: RNAcentral
UUGGUGAGGUAAGGGCUCACCAAGGCGACGAUCCCUAGCUGGUCUGAGAGGAUGAUCAGCCACACUGGAACUGAGACACGGUCCAGACUCCUACGGGAGGCAGCAGUGGGGAAUAUUGCACAAUGGGCGCAAGCCUGAUGCAGCCAUGCCGCGUGUGUGAAGAAGGCCUUCGGGUUGUAAAGCACUUUCAGUCGUGAGGAAGGUGGUAGUGUUAAUAGCACUAUCAUUUGACGUUAGCGACAGAAGAAGCACCGGCUAACUCCGUGCCAGCAGCCGCGGUAAUACGGAGGGUGCGAGCGUUAAUCGGAAUUACUGGGCGUAAAGCGCAUGCAGGUGGUUUGUUAAGUCAGAUGUGAAAGCCCGGGGCUCAACCUCGGAAUAGCAUUUGAAACUGGCAGACUAGAGUACUGUAGAGGGGGGUAGAAUUUCA